GUUUCUAUAGUUGAAUAACAACGGUGGUUUUUCGAGUCACUGGUCCUGGUUAAAAUCCGGGUGGAAAUU
RNAcentral lists this transfer RNA (69 nucleotides) under Spratelloides gracilis (silver-stripe round herring). RNAcentral describes it as "tRNA-Glu". It matches the Rfam family "tRNA". From Rfam's summary of the family: Transfer RNA (tRNA) molecules are approximately 80 nucleotides in length. Their secondary structure includes four short double-helical elements and three loops (D, anti-codon, and T loops). Lineage: Eukaryota; Metazoa; Chordata; Actinopteri; Clupeiformes; Clupeidae. The record is from RNAcentral.